UUGGGCGUAAGCGCGCGUAUGCGUGUUUUUUAAGUCUGAUGUGAAAGCCCACGGCUCAACCGGUGGGAGGGUCAUUGGAAACUGGAAAACUUGGGUGCAGAAGAGGAAAGUGGAAUUCCAUGUGUAGCGGUGAAAUGCGCAGAGAUAUGGAGGAACACCAGUGGCGAAGGCGACUUUCUGGUCUGUAACUGACUCUGAUGUGCGAAAGCGUGGGGAUCAAACAGGAUUAUAUACCCUGGUAGUCCACCCCGUAAACGAUGAGUGCUAAGUGUUAGGGGGUUUCCCCCCCUUAGUGCUGCAUCUAACGCAUUAAGCACUCCCCCUGGGGAGUACGACCGCAGGGUUGAAACUCAAAUGAAUUGACGGAAUCUCUAGUGAAGCUCACAAC
RNAcentral lists this ribosomal RNA (388 nucleotides) under uncultured Staphylococcus sp. RNAcentral describes it as "bacterial SSU rRNA". It matches the Rfam family "Bacterial small subunit ribosomal RNA", at positions 554 to 938 of the family's 1533-position model. Lineage: Bacteria; Bacillati; Bacillota; Bacilli; Caryophanales; Staphylococcaceae. The record is from RNAcentral.